GUUUUCCAUAAGCCUAAUUGAAAACAUAGAUACUCUUCAAGAACACCCAACAUGAUCACUGCUGAUUUCUAAAUUGUCUAGGCAAAUAACUGUCAAGCUCCUCUACAGACCGUUUGGCAGUGUCAUAGGUUGUUGCCAGGAUGAUUGGCAAUGAUACCCCACAUAGAAAGGAACAAGGACCAAGGAAUCCAAAGCAGAAGAAGUUUUUCCUAAGCUAGGUUGUUAUGAUAAUAAGGAGAACAGGAGCUGUGGGAAUGUGUAGGAGAAUAUAUUGUAUAAAUAG
RNAcentral lists this unclassified non-coding RNA (283 nucleotides) under Hevea brasiliensis (rubber tree). The record is from RNAcentral. Lineage: Eukaryota; Viridiplantae; Streptophyta; Magnoliopsida; Malpighiales; Euphorbiaceae.